AGUGAACGCUGGCGGCGUGGAUUAGGCAUGCAAGUCGAGCGAUCUCGCAAGAGAUAGCGGCAAACGGGUGAGGAAUACAUAGGUAAUCUUCCCCUAAAUCAGAAAUAGCCCUAUGAAAGUAGGGGUAAUGUCCGAUAGUAUCGUUGGAACGCAUGUUUCGAUGAUUAAAGACUGGGACCGUAAGGCCAGUCGUUUAGGGAUGAGCCGAUGUCUUAUCAGCUAGUUGGUGGGGUAACGGCUCACCAAGGCUAAGACAAGUAGCUGGUCUGAGAGGAUGGUCAGCCACACUGGGACUGAGACACUGCCCAGACUCCUACGGGAGGCUGCAGUCGAGGAUAUUUAGCAAUGGGCGAAAGCCUGACUAUGCGACGCCGCGUGAGGGAUGAAGGUUUUCGGAUCGUAAACCUCUUUUAGCAGGAAAGAAACCUUUCAAGUUAAUAGCUUGAAAGCUGACGGUACCUGCAGAAUAAGCCACGGCUAACUCCGUG
This 488-nucleotide ribosomal RNA is filed under the name uncultured organism. Its description in RNAcentral is "bacterial SSU rRNA". It matches the Rfam family "Bacterial small subunit ribosomal RNA", at positions 29 to 507 of the family's 1533-position model. The record is from RNAcentral.